RNAcentral lists this non-coding RNA (27 nucleotides) under Bombyx mori (domestic silkworm). The record is from RNAcentral. Lineage: Eukaryota; Metazoa; Arthropoda; Insecta; Lepidoptera; Bombycidae.
UCCUUACCACGUUGAGGCGCCAGUUUU